Molecule: Y RNA, 96 nt
Filed under: Cavia aperea (Brazilian guinea pig)
Lineage: Eukaryota; Metazoa; Chordata; Mammalia; Rodentia; Caviidae
Description: Y RNA (ENSCAPG00000005283.1)
Rfam family: Y RNA
About the family: Y RNAs are components of the Ro ribonucleoprotein particle (Ro RNP), in association with Ro60 and La proteins.
Source: RNAcentral
NNNNGGUCCCAUGGCAGUGGGUUAUUAGAACUUAUUAACAUUAGUGUCACUAAAGUUGGUAUACCACCCCCCCACUGCUAAAUUUGACUGGCUAAA